GGGUGCAAGGGCAGCCUCCUUGUCAUAUCUGCCUCACUGAUCUUCAAGGGCCACUGUGACCUGACUGGCUAAGGAGUGGCUUUUUCCUCCCUCCAUGUGUGCCCUUCCUAAAGCUGCACAGGCUGCACAGAGUGGGGCUGUAUAGACAUGGACAAUUUCUCAAUCAAGAUGUGGGCCACAGGGAGGUGCUUGCUCUUCAGUCAAGGGCAUAAGGGUCUCCAUGCUCACAUUAGAACCUCAACACAAUCUCUCAAAGUAAAAAUAAGAACAAACCCCUCCAUCAAAGAUACAAGCCAAGAAAAUUCACCAUU
Molecule: unclassified non-coding RNA, 311 nt
Organism: Cricetulus griseus (Chinese hamster)
Lineage: Eukaryota; Metazoa; Chordata; Mammalia; Rodentia; Cricetidae
Gene: 7SK
Rfam family: 7SK RNA
About the family: 7SK was discovered as an abundant small nuclear RNA in the mid-70s but a possible function has only recently been suggested. Two independent studies have found that 7SK RNA binds the CDK9/cyclin T complex (known as elongation factor P-TEFb).
Source: Ensembl